UGUUACCACGGUGAUGAAACCGCGAUGCAGACUCGUGUGGUAAAUAAACAUGAAUUUUAAGCAACAUUUUGUCCUUAACGUAUACAAACCUACACUUAAUACUAAUAAUAUGUAACAUAGCCCUAUACGUGUAGGUUAUAGGUCACAUUUUUAACCAUUAUCAAAUGUUUAUUCAACGUGUUCUCCUACGUUUGGUUUCGUCUUUCUUUUGCGUCAGAUAGACGGACCCAACUGAAAACAUUUUCUCAUUGAUUACAAUAUUUCAAUUACAUCUGAUGACAUAAAAAAAGUUCGACUUUUUGUGCUUGUGUUUCUAUCUGCGUCGUUUUACGUCAACCAGUACGCACUUGACCGACAACUCCGUACCUUACCGAUUACAAUCUUGACAUACUGUAAUCUUCUUUGGACCGACGUAUAAUGGGCGUGAACCCAUGAAAAUGGGUGUAGUGUCAUCUGUCAAAAAUGCAGGCUAACGAGCGAAAGCUAUGCCAACAAUUUAUUAAAAAUACAUUAAAUGAAUGAGAAAACCCUCAUCAGGACACUAGGCCUCGUACAGUCACAGGGAUUUAUCACAGGCUGCUGCUAAGAGUGCUGACCUCAAUGCUCAGGGUUAUUUGGCAGACAUCUGCUGUCUGAAAAUAGAUUAAAAGCUGCCUGUAAUUGAUGUGUCAAUUGCAACAGGAUUCAUUUUGAAAAUACCUGUGAAAUAAUUGUUUUCAUACAAACUAUAAUGUGAGAAACCAGUAUUGCUUUGCAUAUUUGCAAUGAAGAUUUCUCACAUUAUAUAUUUCAUUUGCAUACACAGGGGCAAACGUGAUGCAAGAUGAGAAGAAAACAUGACUCAUUUCCUUAUCAAAUUGACUGAAUAAGUGUCCACCUGUUUAUGGCAACUGACAGAUUAAGAUGCUUUAAUUUGGAGGUUUACAUCCAUGUAUGAACAGUGUAUGAUCUGUAGCCCUGUUCUGUUCUUGCUCUGUCAGAAAAAGUUUGUGAUUACAAGGACUGUCAACAAAAUGGACUUAAACGUCAUCAGACACUCAAAGGUGAAAAUCUGCAUUUUACCCUCAGUAAUUGUUAAAUCUAAGCAUACAGCGCUAUAACAAUUAAAAUGUCACUAACUUACUCCUACUGCAUGGUACCUGGAAAAAUGACUACAGAAGAAUAUUGUCACAUAAACCUUUGUGUAACAUGUAUUAUAUCUUAUCAUUGUAGAGAUAAUCAAAAGCUAAACUCUGCCAUAGUGAAAUAACUCUUAUUGUAUCCAUAAAAACUCACUGGAUUAAGAUUUGUUUUAGGCUCUAAAACCAAGGAUGUAAUCAAAGAAUUGUCCCCCCCCCCAUUUUGACCAGAUGGUACAUCCCAGUCUCUCCUCCUCUCCCAUUCUCCUCCCUCCUGCUUUCAGUGUCCUCCAUCUCUCCGAUUUCUCUCAUUUUCUUAUAUUAAGGACAUUCUCACUUCCAGAGACCGCUGCAUUUCCUCCUCAUCUGUUUUCGUUGUUAUAGCCACAGAGCUGUUGGAGAGUGAAGCAGCACAGAGCUGACCUUAUCAAAACUCCUAUCCAGACCACACCUCUGUCCCUGAGUCCAUGGAAGCCAAAGCCAAGACCGGGGCUCCAGUGCCCAAAGCAGCAUCUAAAGCAGAGAAGAAGGAGCCAGCAGCCCCCCCACGCAAGGCUGAGCCUGCCCCUGCAGCCCCUGAGCCUGAGAAUCCUCCUCCCCAGGAUGGGGCAGCAGAAGCUGAAGCAGCAGCGGAAGGUGACGAGGCUGCGGCCUCCGGCACAGACUCUCUGGAACACCUGAAACCUUUUCUCAUUGGUGGUGCUGUUAUUGCUGCAGGAGCCAUUUUGUUGGGAGUGUUGCUACUGGCAAGGAGAAAUUAAAACCAAAUUGUUAUCUCAAAUUAAUGUAUCUAUUGGUUGAUGAGUUAGAGCAUUGUUGCUGAGUGGUUCACAGACUAUGACGGGGAAUGGGGAGUCACUGUGCAUCCAGUGUUUUUUGGGUUUUUUUGUUCUGCUUUCACUUGUAGUGAAUCAAACCAUUCAAGUUUUGAUCAAGGCUGUAUAUGGAGCAUAAUUACGCAUAGUAUAUGCAUGAAGUUGCUUAAAUACUGCAUCGGAACUGUAAUAAUCUAUUUCUUAAAAAAAAUAACUCACACUGUAGUACUGAGCUUAAAUGCAUAAACUCUUUAAAGGUAGCUUAUUCAACUGCUUUAUCUUGUUUCAUCCAGUUUGCACAAAUAUUGACAAAAGCUUGCAAUAUUUGUACAUUCUUGCACUGGAAAUGAGCUUGGUUCACUUUGCUUAAAGAUCAUUGAAAACUGUAAUACUGUUGAAACUUAAUACUGGCGAUCAGAGUUGGUUUAGGUUUUCUUUUACUUACUAAUAAGACAACUGAAACGGUGGGCCUGAAAGGAGGUGGACAUAUGCAUUGUGAUAUAUUGCACAUAUUUUGGCUAAAUCAAUAUUAAAGUGAAGGGAUUCAGUUUCUCUUUCUUCAGGUUACAGGGAGAGGGACACUGAAUCCCUGCAUGUCCAAAACAUGUCAAAAAGAGAGCAGCAAAGUGCAAUAAAAAAUACAAAUCAACAAGAAAAUAUAAGCAUAAGGUGGUUUAGAAAGGAGAUGUAGGGGAUUGUUGGAUAUAAAACAUGUACAGUAUGUGGCAGAGAAUAAUAGUAAAGUUACUUCUUGCUGUAGAAUAAGAGUUUUAUUUUACUGUCAAAUGAUGUCACAAAUCAAUAACCUUUCAUGUCUUUCAACAGCCACAGUUGUGCUAGUUCAAUCUGUUUACAUCCUACAGUAGCUGAAGCAGGAUGAACAGCCAUUCAUGUUGCAGUAUCAGGUUUAAAGCCUGCUGCCAAUACAUUUGAGUUGCUUUUCUCUUCACCGUGUUCCCCUUAUGUAGCUUUUGGAAAAAAAAACUCAUUAAUAACUAAGAACAUCUGUUACGUGAUGAGAAAAUCCUAGGCUGCUCAUGCAGUGAAACUGGGGUGUAGAUGAAGUGCUGUUGUAUAGUUUACUCAAAGGGGAAAAAAUGUCAAGCAGUCACAGUUUUGUUGCUGCACAUACUCACACUCUGUACAGCUGUACACAAUAUUGUCCACUCACAUGUAAAGCUCAUGGGGAUGUUGCAUAAGUAGAUAAGCAGAAAGACAGUUCUGACACACACCAUUUCUUGAUUUUAUUUGUAAGGGUAUAUAUGAAUUUUACCUCACAUUACUGGCCAAAAAUAUUGUACGAACAUACUGCAUUCACCACAGUCAACACCCCAACCACAUCCAAAAGAAAAUACGCCAACACCAAAACAAACUUCACCUUACAUUGUACAAUACAGUGUACCAAAAAAAAAGACAAAUCCUAUUUUCAUAAUUUCAACAGCGUAUAAAUGCAAUAAUUCAGAUAGGACUCCUCAUUUAGCACACGUGCUGUAGCAAGUUAAAUUACAUAAAUGAUGAUGUACGGUAAUAAUAUUGUUGGUGAUGAUUAUGUAUGAUGUUAUUGAUGGCAUUGACGGUGAUAUUACAGACGAUGAUGGUAAUGAUGAUGUUUUCCAUGAUGACAGUAAUGAUGGCUAUGAUAUAUUUUUGAUAUAUUUCUAACAUAUUUUCCGUAUGCACAUUCCCCUCUGCCCCCAAACUCCUAAAUGUAAAGAAGAAAAAGGUUGUAAUCUAACCUUAAUUAAAGUCAGUGAACCAGCCCAAGGGAGUAUUUCAUUGAGAACAAUUGCACUCUUUAUUUAAUAUUAUUCAAAAUUAGGAAACCUACAUUUGCAAAUAGAGCUUCAGCUCUGCUAAUUAUUUAGAGUAUGGUGUACCUGUCUUUCCAUUAAACUGAUCAUUAAUUUG
Long non-coding RNA from Dicentrarchus labrax (European seabass), 3841 nucleotides. RefSeq lists it as uncharacterized. The transcript has 3 exons. Lineage: Eukaryota; Metazoa; Chordata; Actinopteri; Moronidae. The record is from RefSeq and is a predicted model, not a curated record.